GGUCAGAACGAACGCUGGCGGCAGGCCUAACACAUGCAAGUCGAGCGCGCCCUUCGGGGUGAGCGGCGGACGGGUUAGUAACGCGUGGGAACGUACCCUUUGGUAGGGAAUAGCCACUGGAAACGGUGAGUAAUACCCUAUGAGCCCUUCGGGGGAAAGAUUUAUCGCCAAAGGAUCGGCCCGCGUUAGAUUAGGUAGUUGGUGGGGUAAUGGCCUACCAAGCCUACGAUCUAUAGCUGGUUUUAGAGGAUGAUCAGCAACACUGGGACUGAGACACGGCCCAGACUCCUACGGGAGGCAGCAGUGGGGAAUCUUGGACAAUGGGGGCAACCCUGAAUCCAGCCAUGCCGCGUGAGUGAAGAAGGCCUUAGGGUCGUAAAGCUCUUUCGCCUGUGAAGAUAAUGACGGUAGCAGGUAAAGAAACCCCGGCUAACUCCGUGCCAGCCGCCGC
Molecule: ribosomal RNA, 451 nt
Filed under: uncultured bacterium
Lineage: Bacteria
Description: bacterial SSU rRNA
Rfam family: Bacterial small subunit ribosomal RNA
Source: RNAcentral